UACGGAGGUGGCAAGCGUUGCUCGGAAUCACUGGGCGUAAAGGGCGCGUAGGCGGGGAGGUAAGUCGGGUGUGAAAUCCCUCGGCCCAACCGAGGAACUGCGCCCGAGACUGCUUCUCUUGAGUCCCGGAGAGGAAGAUGGAAUUCCCGGUGUAGCGGUGAAAUGCGCAGAUAUCAGGAGGAACACCAAUAGCGAAGGCAGCUCGCUGGGACGGUACUGACGCUGAGGCGCGAAAGCGUGGGGAUCAAACAGG
RNAcentral lists this ribosomal RNA (253 nucleotides) under uncultured bacterium. Its description in RNAcentral is "partial 16S ribosomal RNA". It matches the Rfam family "Bacterial small subunit ribosomal RNA", at positions 524 to 776 of the family's 1533-position model. The record is from RNAcentral.